CAGUCGGACGAUAACGUACCUUCGGGGACUGGAGAGGGGCACAGGGGUGAGUAUGGCGUGUGGACCUAACUCUGACUGGGGGAUAGGGGUUGGAAGGGACCGCCCGGAUUGCAAACGCCCUUCCGGGGAAGGAUUUAUCGCGGGAACAUGGACCCUUGUUGUAUUGGAUGUGUGGAGAUGUAAUGACUUACCUGGUGGGGUAUCCGCUUAUGGUUGGAAAGGAUGAUCACUGGUCUGGGACUGAAACACGGCCCUCACUCCUACGGGAGGGCCCGAAGGGGAAUAUUGGACAAUGGGGGCGACCCUGAUCCAACGGUGCCGCGCGAGUGAAGAAGGUGUUCGGGGUGUGAGCUCUUUUUCGGGUUGUAAAGAUGAUUGUAACAUCAGGAGAAGCCCCGGCUAAUUUCGUGCCAGGCUUGCGGUAAUACGAAAGGGGCUACCGUUGUUCUGAUUUACUGGGCGUAAAGGGCACGCAGAGGGGUCUUGCCUGUCUCGGGUGAAAGCCCGGGGCUCAACCCCGGAACUGCCUCUGAUACUGCAUGACUAGAGACUAGGGCUUAGGUGGUGGAAUUCCCAUUGUACUGGUGAAAUUCGUAGAUGUUGGAGAGGAACACCAAUUUCCUAAUGCGGCCACCUGGACUAUAUCUGACGCUCAGGUGCGAAAGCGUGAGGGAGCA
Molecule: ribosomal RNA, 677 nt
Filed under: Thalassospira sp.
Lineage: Bacteria; Pseudomonadati; Pseudomonadota; Alphaproteobacteria; Rhodospirillales; Thalassospiraceae
Description: bacterial SSU rRNA
Rfam family: Bacterial small subunit ribosomal RNA
Source: RNAcentral